GGGCCUUUAGCUCAACGGUUAGAGCUGGCGGCUCAUACCCGCUUGGUUGCAGGUUCGAAUCCUGCAGGGCCUACCA
This 76-nucleotide transfer RNA is filed under the name Planctomycetota bacterium. Its description in RNAcentral is "tRNA-Ile". It matches the Rfam family "tRNA". From Rfam's summary of the family: Transfer RNA (tRNA) molecules are approximately 80 nucleotides in length. Their secondary structure includes four short double-helical elements and three loops (D, anti-codon, and T loops). Lineage: Bacteria; Pseudomonadati; Planctomycetota. The record is from RNAcentral.